CAUGGUCCGAUCAUGGCCUUGUGAGAGUUAAAUCCUCUCUCCGCCUAUUGGCGAAGAUUCAUCAUAAAUCAAGAUUGAAGACACCUCGUCUAGACGUGUAUAGGUUGAGGGCAGAAGAAGGCUGUGAGCUCCUUCGGAAGAAACAUCAAGGCUGAGCUUGAAGGUAUGGCAGCUGAACAUGAAGAGGCGAUGAAUGUAGAACGUUCAUGGAACGUUUUAAAAGAAGGCAGCAGCAAAUCUGCUACAGCUUCAUUGGAUUCCAGCGGCGAAAGCAUCAAGAGUGGUUUGAUGAAAACGAUGUGCAGAUGGUGUCAAUUCUAUCAGACCUACAACAAAAACAUCUAGAUUGGCUCUCUGACAAGCUGAAUCAAGCAAAGAAGGAGAGCUAUCAACAUGUGAAAUCUGCAGCACAAGCAAAGAUCAGGAGAAUGAAAGAGGAAUGGUGGAAGGAAAAAGCUAGACUGAUGCAGAGUGCGGCAAACAAGAACGAUCUGCGUACUUUCUAUAAUGAGCUAAAAGCUAUCCAUGGCCCUUGCUUUAAUGGCAUGCUGGCUGUUCAUAGCUCGGACGGGCGCAUCAUUCUCAAUGAUCCUACGCGUAUCAUAGAGAGAUGGGCUGAACACUUUGAACAACUGCUAAACCGUCCAUCCCACAUAGCAAAUGCAGUGCUUGACGAUCUACCAAGCAGACCAACGCUUAAAUGCCUGAGUUUACCGAUAACGCUCGAUGAAGUCACAAAUGCCAACAGUGUGCUUAAAAAUGGUAAGGCAUCUGGAUGCGAUUCCAUUCCACCCGAAGUCUUCAAGUAUGGUGGCCCCUAUCCAGCUGAAAGACUACAGCAGCUGUUUUCCGUUAUAUGGACAAAAGAGGUCGUUCCACAAGAUUUCAAGGAUUCGAAAAUCAUUCAUUUUUAUAAAAGGAAGGGCGAAAGAGCGGACUGCAACAAUCAUCGUGGCAUCUCGCUGUUGUGUAUUGCUGGAAAAAUCUUGGCACGUAUAAUAAAUAGUGAGACGGGCAACUGCUUUGGCGGAGGAGGUGAACCCUGAAAGCCAAUGCAGAUAUAGGGAGAACCGUAGUACAGUGGACAUGCCUUUCUCCGCACGUCAAGUGCAAGAAAAAUGCAGAGAACAGCAGCGUGACCUCUAUAUAAUCUUUGUGGAUCUAACAAAGGCCUUUGACGUGGUAUCCCGCACAAGACUUUGGAUGCUCCUCCACAGAGUUGGUUUCCCAGAAAAGGUGAUAAACACCAUUCGAUCUUUUCAUGAUGGCAUGCAAGCACAUGUUGUAGACGUUGGGCUGGAAUCUGCUCCCUUUGACGUAGAUAAUGGUGUCAAGCAAGGUUGUGUUUUUGCACCACUGCUGUUUAGCAUUGUUAUGGCCGCUGUGAUCUAUGAUUCCUUUCAUAAUUGCGAGAAAGGCAUAAAUUUCAAUGUGCGGUACGAUGGAGGAAUAUUCAACCUUCGGCGAUUUAAGAAAAAGACCAAAGUCCACCAUAGAGCUACUCUACGCUGGUGACUGCGCUCUUGUUGCUCACACCGAAGAUGUCCAAGUUCUUAUUGACUGCCUUAGUAUGCCACAAAGAGAUAUGGCCUUUCGAUCUCCAUAAAGAAAACUGAAGUGCUAUUACAACCUAGGCCUGGUAGCUGCUACAAAGAGCCUGCAGUCACGAUCGGAUCUGACAAUUUGAGGGCAGUCACUAAGUUCUGUUACUUGGGAGGUGUUCUAUCUAACGAUUGUUCCCUUGACCCUGAAAUCGCAGCACGAUUGGCGAAAGCAAGUUCAACAUUUGGGCGCCUUGCUUCGAGGUUAUGGGACACUCAUGACAUCUCUCUAGUGACAAAGGUGUCUGUCUAUCAAGCAGCUGUUCUAAGUGUCUUACUCUAUGGUGUAGAAACCUGGACAUUAUAUCGCCGACAUAUUAGACAGCUAGAUGCCUUUCAUAUGCGCUGCCUACGGAGAAUUAGUAGAAUCUCCUGGCAAGACCGUAUACCCAACACUGAAGUGCUGUCUCACUGCCAUAUGCGCGGGAUUGAGGCCUACAUAAUGGAAGCCCACCUUCGGUGGACAUGGCAUGUUGUUCGUGUGAGCGCUGAGAGACUACCACGAGCCCUUUUAUACAGUGAACUGUCUGAUGGUGCUCGUAAAGUUGGUGCGCCUAAGAAGCGUUUUAAAGAUCAAUUGAAGAGUACGCUGAACAAAUGCGAUAUAACUGACUUCGAAGCUCUUGUAAGCAAUAGAGCCCAGUGGAAGACAACUGUUAAGUGCGGGGUUGCGAAGUUUGAGGAUGCUCGAAUAGCAGAUCUGAGGGAACGUCGUCGCUGCCGCAAAGAGGAUAUACUAGCACAGGGUUGCUAUCCAUGCCACAAGUGUCCAAAAGUUUGCCACUCUUAUAUUGGAUUAGUGAGUAAUCUCAGAGCUCACGACCGCAAGGGAGAAUAAACAACAUUGUUGUAUGCUUCAAAACCUGGAUCUGUCGGUCGCCACAGCCAAACCAAACCCACCAAAGGAGGCAUUGACUAUCCUUCCAAGCAAUAUCGCUAUUGUGAGGGAGAUGCAACAAUUUCAGGACUGCAAUCCUCAGAAACGUGGGAGAUCACGUGACGUUACGGAAUGAUGUGACUCAUCCAGAUUUAUUAAUGAAUGUGUCCACUUCUGCCGUGGAAGUUCAGAAAAUUCUUUCCAAGUUAGACGUAAAGAAGGCUACAGGAGGGGAUAAUAUUCCAGCGAGAAUCUUAAAAGAAUGCUUUAUGGAGCUUUCGUACCCACGCUCUUCUCUGUUUAAUAUGUCUUUUAGUUUGGGCGUGGUUCCCAAUGGAAUGGAAAAGAGCUAAUAUUACACCUGUCUUCAAGUCUGAUAACAAAACCUUGGUUGAAAAUUACCGGUCAGUCUCCUUGUUGUCUCUUCCCAGCAAGUGCUAGGAGACUGCAAGAAGAGAGUACGUGUUAUUUACAAGGGGCAACCAGCAGCGGAUACAGGUGGAGUCACUCGGCAACUUUACACCCAGCUGCUUGAAGUGAUUUCACAGCAGUUCUUUCAUGGUGACACCUUUAAAAUUCCUAUCUACAAUUCUAACAUGGUGGUCUCAAGUAUCAUGAAACUUGUGGGUACCAUUAUAGUCCACAGCAUCCUUCAAGGAGGGCCUGGAUUGCCGGUAUUCAGUCCUUCUGUUUACCAUUAUCUUGCAACUGGUAACCUAGAUGAUUCUGUACAGAGAAUUUCUGUAGAUGACUGCAGUAUUCCCACUAAGCACUUCAUAGACAAGGUUUUAAAGGCAUCUGUCUCAACUUUGGAUGCAGAGGAAAUGGACAGUUUUCUGUCGGAGUGUGGUUUAACUGUUGCAUUGACUGAUUCAAACAAGACAAUGGUCUUGCAGGGCAUAAUAGUGCAUGAUGUCCUGGGGCGCCCUAAAAUACUUCUUGAUCAACUGCGAGAUGGCCUUGCAGUGCUGUCCCUUGGUGAAAAGAUGAAACAAUAUCCUGACCUUUUCUAGGAAUUAUUUGUGCUCCAAGACAAGGAGUUGAUUCCUAGUGAUGUUAUCGGGGUAUUACAGUUUCCUAAACCAGCAAGUAGCAUAGAAGCCACUAUUGAGAGCUAUUUAGUAGAAUACUUGCAGAAUGCAUCGCUUGAAACACUGAAUCAGUUUCUUGUCUUUUCAACUGGUGCACCCUGUUUACCACAUUUUGGACUGGGCAAAAUUGAAAUAAAAUGUGACUAUGUCACAUCAAUUUUUGCUUCAACUUGCCUGAAAAGUAUAAGCUUUCCUCAAGUUUUUCCUGACAAAAUGACCUUUUCAAGUUCCCUUGAAGCAGUAAUAUCCGUUACAACCAAGUCCUUCAACUGUGUGUAGGAUCUUGACAUGUUGAA
RNAcentral lists this long non-coding RNA (3865 nucleotides) under Stylophora pistillata. RNAcentral's name for it is "uncharacterized LOC111346311, transcript variant X2". The record is from RNAcentral. Lineage: Eukaryota; Metazoa; Cnidaria; Anthozoa; Scleractinia; Pocilloporidae.